This is a long non-coding RNA of Daucus carota subsp. sativus, 2416 nucleotides long. RefSeq lists it as uncharacterized. Lineage: Eukaryota; Viridiplantae; Streptophyta; Magnoliopsida; Apiales; Apiaceae. The transcript is spliced from 3 exons. The record is from RefSeq and is a predicted model, not a curated record.
CUCCCUUCCCCAAACUUUAUAAUUAUACCGCUACUUUCGUCUUAACCCCUUCUUUCUUCCAGCCAACCUAAAACUACGUGACAACACCUUCACCCACUAGACCAACCACGGGUUCCAUUCAUCUUUUACGUUCAUGAGGUCAAUUCUAUUGAUCGGUUCAUAUGAGCUCCAUUGGACACUAACAUACUGCAGUUCGACAAAUAUAAAAGAUGAGUAAGCUUUCAAUCUCAUGUCUGUUUGUCUUCUACCCAUAGUAUAUGAUCAAGGUUUGGGAUUCCUGAGCAAGAACAAAUUGACAUCUUUUAUUAAGAUUUACAUACUUGGAUUGAUUAGAUAGUGUGGUAAAAUUAUUGAUGUUUUUUUCCAUUGCUUUCAGUGUAUAUAUGUGCCCAACUGUCCAUACUCUGGGUUGCCUGUGUUCUUUGGGUAUGUACUUACACAAAUUCAGAUAAAGGAAAAAGAAGCACGGAUGAUUAAGAUUUUAGAGCGGAAUGAUGUGAGAUGUAUAUAUGUACACAUAAUAUCUUGUUCAUAAAUUUAUGUGUUAGGCAUUCUCAAGAGAGAUACGCUACUAAAUGUUGAUUCUUUGAUUUGAUUUUCAAGCUCUUUCUGUUAUUGCGGAGUCUUGGGUUCUAUCUUAGAGCUUUAUUGUUAAUGGGUUUUAUUGAAAUUUUGAGUUUAAGUCAUAGAUGAUUCUUUUUGUUGAGUUUGCAGAAAAUGAUCCUGUUAUUUGAAACCCUUACGGAGUUUGGUAUUCUUAAAGUGUUGGUGAGGGGAAGCUCUCCAAAGUUGACGUGAUUAAUGAUUUAUGUUCUUUGUUGUGGUCGGUUUUUACAAUAUUUUAUGUAAUUUAAUUCUUGUUUAAAUUUAUUUGGUUUUGGAGUAUCUUGGGGCAUGUUGUGUGUCAGGUUUUUUAUGUUCCAAUACUGAGUUUGAUACUGUUGACGCAGCUCGAAAGAUUUUUAAUCUCCCUUUUGUGUUCUUGUCUCUCCUAUUUUUUGUUGUGUGUGUGUGUUGAUUGAAGUGCGGCUUAGCUUGUUUUGCAACAAUUUUUUUUUGUGUAUAGAGUUUUUUCACAUUUAUUUAUUUAAAGUGAUAUGUUAUAUGUGCAUACAACAUUUUGCCUAAUUUUGGUACUUGAGAGAAGUUAUUUUUGGGAUUGAUAUUGUGCUUCAAACUCUUAAUGCAUUUCUUUAUUUUAUAAUCAGAAUGUGAAUUUAAAAUUGCGUCUUCCAUGUCAUAGUCAUAUCCCAUUUGGUAAAUAUUUUUGUGGGAUGAAUUUUUUCACCAAUUGCAUAUACUUUUGGUUUGGGUCAUAAUAUUUGUACGCGUUUGUUUGCUAUAAUAUUUGGAAAAAAGACCAAGUAGCUUGCAGUAUAAAAUGUAUUUUGUUGCCUAUAUCACUAUACUUAAUUGUCUUGUCAUAUUCAAACUCUCCACAAGGUGGAUAUAAUGAUCAUACAAGCCACUAGUUUAUUGGAUGAUCUUGAUAAAAAGCUUAACUCCUAUAUAUGCUAAGCGAGUUUGGGAAUGAUAUGGUUGGCAUUUCCGGAGCUUGUAAAAAUUGUACAGGAUAACAUACUAUAUUCAAAGUCUGUGGAGCUGAUGGAUGAUCGUGCAAAUGCUGCGAAGCUUGAUUUUUCAGAGGAUUAUAGGAGAAGCUGCAUUUCAGUCUUCAGUGCUAUCUGCAUCACCAAGGUCUUGUUACGUUGCACCAGAAAAUGGAUACUGUAAAGCUACAUAACAAACGGACACAUACAACUUUGGUGUAAUGCUGUUAGAACUGGUGACAAGCGGGGGAGCUUAUGAACAUAUAUAAUCAUGGGACGGAGAGUUUUUGGACAUUGUUAGUAAAAUCAACAAAACUAAUGAAGCAAUCCAAGUAGUUGAUCCUAAGAUCUCAAACUCAUCCUUCUAGCAAACAAUAUUAUGAGCUAUAGAUAUUGUGGCCAGAUGUGCAUCUGUGGCAUCAGAGAAGAGACCCCCAAUAUGUGAGGUUGUGACGGCUUUGCAGAGUUUUUUUUUCAACUUCUCUCCUUUCCGAUAGUGUUCCUGCUUCGCGUGGAGUGUUUGAUAUGAUCCACGUUCAACUUUUGGGCAAUGAGUAUGAAUUGUUGCACUUUGUACAUACACGGUAAAUUGAGCUUGGAGAGAAAAUAUGAAGCCAGUAAAAAAAAUUGGUCAGACUUGGCUUGAGGAGGAAAAGAAACAUGUAGAAUAGUAAUAAUGUGUUUGGAAAUGUAUCUCUUUAUUCUCUCCCAUGCAUAUAUAAUCAUACAAGUAAAACGUGCAAGAUGAUCCUUCUAUAGCAUUUAAAACUUGCAGAAAACUAAUAGGUUGGUGAGAAGUGUACCAUUUGAUUACGUUUGAGCACAUUAUGUUCUUUCUAUGAGCCUAAAAAUAUUUUUAUUUUAUA